UUCUAAUUCAUCUCAGAAGCGCUCGAUCAGUCCGCUCAAAAUUAUUACAUCAGCAGUUUUUAAAUAGAUUUUAUAUUGACAUUGCUAGUUACUCAUUUACCUCAGCCAGACAGAUGUUCAGCUAAGUUAGCUUGCUAGCUGUUAUUGUAGCUGCUUUCUGUUCGUAUGUAUAGUUGCAUUUUAAUGGCAUCCCUCGUGGAGAUUUUCUUUUAUCUUUCCAACUGGGCGAAGUACUAUGAAGGCACCACUGAUCUCGAGAAGAGGCGCAAAAUUUGUAGCGGGGCAGAGAAUUCCACAAUUCAGGGUGACAGAGAGCCCCAUACAGAAAGAGAGCAAGAAAGUGAGAGGGGAGAGAGGCAAUCACAUGUACCUAUGGGGAAGGAUGGCCAGCCACAAAGGAGGGUGAUUUUCACUAAGGAGAAGGAGGCCGUGCUGACAGAUGCAUGAUGGACAUUUAAUAUGAAAUGUAUUUAUCAAUCAAGGUGAGACUGAACAUCAACUAGGCACAGGGUAAGCAGGGCGAAAGACUUGCUUUGGAAAAAGGAUGAAAGGCGAGACCUGGGAAACCUCGCUGCUCUUUCGCUCCAAGCUGGGGUCAUCAUCCAUUAAAGGUUACCUCGGUGGAAGCCAAAAAUCUUCUCCAGUUGAACGGUCGACCACAAAGCCCUGACGCCCUACAUUUCGGUGAAGCCCGUGAGACAAAGACAGUCAACUGUCCGAGCCACCCAGAAGGUAUCCCAUCCACCAGAGCCAGUGAGUUUGGAUGAGUCUGAUUCUGUGCUCUGAGUCGGAAGGGGACCAGCUUGAGGUGGCUUGCGUCAGACUGGAGGAACAGGGGCAGGUAAGUCCAGUCACUGGACUAGAAGACACUAGGGAGGUUCUCAUCACUAGUGUCCAACAGGGACAGGUAAGGCAUCGCCAUGCUGUCAGCAGUAUCAACACUGGCUCAGGGGUUUGUCCAGCUAGUCAAUCUCAAGGCUAACCACUGGGUCACGGUAAGUAACCUUCGCUGCCAGGUAGGUACUGUUAAGGUGUAUGACUCCAGUGGUCAUGACACCACCCCAGAGUUUCUCACAACUCACCUCUCUCAUCUUUUCCAGGGACCUCUGAUUGUGGAGUGGCUGACAGUCCAGCAGUAGAAACGGGGCACAGAUUGUGGGCUGUUUGCUAUUGCAGAGAUGAGGAACACUCCAUGGCACGAUAUCAUCAGAAAUCCAUGAGAAAACAUUCUCUUGUUUUCAGGCUGGGCACCUGGCACCAUUUCCCAAUUCCAUUCCCCGUCCAGGAGAUGCGGUAAGCAUUUAUGUGUGUUGUUUGUCACAUGUUGUCAAUGUGAGUGAAUUUGUCUGUUCAUCGUCCGUCAUCUGUUUUGUCUUAUAUUUCCCCCCACACUUGUUUUCACUGCUUGGCCAGCUCUCCACCUCAAGAUGGUAGGUAUUUUACUACAUUGCAUGUCAUUGUUAAUAACCUGUUGUAAUAUUGUAUAAAGAUGUUUUAUUGCAGACAUUGGCUGUGAAGUUGGUAAGUUGUUUGGUAAAUAUAUAGCAUAUGUAUCCGUCUUGUAUUCUAAGUAACGUUUACAAGCAUGUAAAUAUUUGUAUAUAUUUUUCCAUUUGUUUGCUGAUAAAUAUU
This is a non-coding RNA of Salmo salar (Atlantic salmon), 1632 nucleotides long. The record is from RefSeq and is a predicted model, not a curated record. NCBI's taxonomy places the organism in Eukaryota, Metazoa, Chordata, Actinopteri, Salmoniformes, Salmonidae.